GACGAACGCUGGCGGCGUGCUUAACACAUGCAAGUCGAACGGGAUUUAGUAAACGGAAGCCUCGGUGGAAGAUUACUAAUGAGAGUGGCGAACGGGUGAGUAACGCGUGAGCAACCUGCCUAUGACAGUGGGAUAGCCUCGGGAAACCGGGAUUAAUACCGCAUAAAAUCGUAGAAACACAUGUUUCAACGGUCAAAGAUUUAUCGGUCAUAGAUGGGCUCGCGUCUGAUUAGCUAGUUGGUGAGAUAACAGCCCACCAAGGCGACGAUCAGUAGCCGGUCUGAGAGGAUGAACGGCCACAUUGGAACUGAGACACGGUCCAAACUCCUACGGGAGGCAGCAGUGGAGAAUACUGCACAAUGGGGGAAACCCUGAUGCAGCGACGCCGCGUGAACGAAGAAGGUAUUCGUAUCGUAAAGUUCUGUCCUAUGGGAAGAUAAUGACAGUACCAUAGAAGAAAGCUCCGGCUAAAUACGUG
RNAcentral lists this ribosomal RNA (478 nucleotides) under uncultured bacterium. RNAcentral describes it as "partial 16S ribosomal RNA". It matches the Rfam family "Bacterial small subunit ribosomal RNA", at positions 28 to 507 of the family's 1533-position model. The record is from RNAcentral.